This 544-nucleotide ribosomal RNA is filed under the name Alternaria alternata. RNAcentral's name for it is "eukaryotic LSU rRNA". The stretch from base 183 to 336 matches the Rfam family "5.8S ribosomal RNA". Lineage: Eukaryota; Fungi; Ascomycota; Dothideomycetes; Pleosporales; Pleosporaceae. The record is from RNAcentral.
CUGCGGAGGGAUCAUUACACAAAUAUGAAGGCGGGCUGGAACCUCUCGGGGUUACAGCCUUGCUGAAUUAUUCACCCUUGUCUUUUGCGUACUUCUUGUUUCCUUGGUGGGUUCGCCCACCACUAGGACAAACAUAAACCUUUUGUAAUUGCAAUCAGCGUCAGUAACAAAUUAAUAAUUACAACUUUCAACAACGGAUCUCUUGGUUCUGGCAUCGAUGAAGAACGCAGCGAAAUGCGAUAAGUAGUGUGAAUUGCAGAAUUCAGUGAAUCAUCGAAUCUUUGAACGCACAUUGCGCCCUUUGGUAUUCCAAAGGGCAUGCCUGUUCGAGCGUCAUUUGUACCCUCAAGCUUUGCUUGGUGUUGGGCGUCUUGUCUCUAGCUUUGCUGGAGACUCGCCUUAAAGUAAUUGGCAGCCGGCCUACUGGUUUCGGAGCGCAGCACAAGUCGCACUCUCUAUCAGCAAAGGUCUAGCAUCCAUUAAGCCUUUUUUUCAACUUUUGACCUCGGAUCAGGUAGGGAUACCCGCUGAACUUAAGCAUAUC